UCUACUCCCCCACAGCUCAGCUCCUGAUCCGUAACAUAGGGCUCUUCCCUUGGGAUGGGUAUUCAUGUGUUACGCUUACAGGCUGCAAGACACUCAGCAACUUUGAGGAUCAGGGACAUACAAAUGUAAACAUCUGCAGCUCUCCCUUUACAAUCAGGGAAAAGAAGUGGCCAGCUGAGAGCAGGAUUCAUCCAGCCUAGUGGAGAUACCUAGUUCAGGAAGAGCUGCAUUGUUAUUUCCAUCCACUGAGCAUCAAAGAGGAGCAGCUCCAAUGUGAGUAUCUCAGUGGUUUAGGAGAGUCCAUCUCCCCCCUCCCCAAAUGGGAAGCGAUGCUUCAGUGGGACCUUUAGCUUUUUUUUUUUUAGCUAAAUAUCUAUUAACAAUUACCAAAAGUUGACUAUACCCAAGUACUAAGGCAUUUGUGGAACUGGACACAUGAAAUAUUUACCAUUGCUCAUUCUUUGUGUGAAAAAGAGGAAGCUCUUUAUGCCCAGUAUCUAGCACUCCAUUUCUACAUUUGUCAUGUUCAGUGGGGAUUGCUAGGGUAAAGCAGAAGUAGGAGUCUUGGUUUUCUCAUAACACAUAUAAGUUUGGGUAUACCAGAAAAGCAAUCAAAUUUGGCAGAGCCUGUUCACUCCUGUAGGAAGGAGGGGUACAGGAAGCACAUCAUAACUGACCCAUCUUUGACAUUUCACCCAACAACAUACACAAUGCAUUUUCAUGGGAACGUUACAAAGUCAACUACUAAAUGGAAAUGUUUUGUCUUAAAGUGCAGAAGAACUAUGAAAUUCUCUCUGGGGAAUCUGUCUGCUCAUAGCUGCUUCAGGCUGUCUAAGGUACACUCUUCUAGAAAAGAGUAACAUUCUUUUUCAGGAAAAUACAAAUUAUAAUGAGAGAAAUAAACAAAAAUGAAAUGCAAUUUUUUUUUUUUUUUUGACUGGGGAUUUCUUCUUCCAGUCGUUCUCCAUUGCAGAAUAUUCUUUAUGUCCUUCAUCAGUCUUGUACUUCGUUACAGAUGGAAAAUAUUAGCUCUGGUUUACAAAACAUGGCCCCGUUUCCUGUAACACAGCACAGGUUGGACAAAUCUGUCAUUUGAGUAGUGUGUCUAUUCUGUGGCCAAUUCUGUAAUCUACAAGCAAUGUAAUCCUAAACAAGGAAUCUCAUGUUAGCAGCCAAGAUUGGAAAAUCCCUGUUUAAGUGCAAUUGCUGCCAACACUUGCUAAGGACAAACUAAUUUUCAAUCUGCAGUUUGAGGGCUGUCUCUUUUCCUUUUUAGCUCUUUUUUUUAAUAAAUAAAACACACCUAACUUUCUAAGAUGACACAAAUGCACACUUGAUUUUAAAAAGUGGAAAACAGAUUUAGAAAAAAGUUUAAGGUUAUGAAAAAUAUCACACUGUCUAUAAAAAAGAUUAUUCUAUUUUUUAAUACAAUUUGAACAAAUGCCACUUUGCAAAUUUGAAGAGUUGUAUUUCAGAACAAACAGCAACAAGAUUGUUGUGUACAAAUAAGAGGAGAAGAGCAAGGGAGAAAGACAAGGGGGUGUGUGUUAUAGAAUACAGAUAGGAAGAUCGAGGAUGAUCUAGAUAUAGCUUUAAAUGAGAACUUGACCUCAGUUUUCAAGAUGGAUCAGGGCGGUAUAAAUAAUGGCAAUGAGGAUAUGAGAUGAUGACAACUAAGACAGAAGCAAAACUCAAGAAAUUUAAUAUAUCCACGUUGGCGGACACAGAAGUGAAAGGCAGGCAGAAGAAGCUACAUUAAGUAGUUAUGGUAAGUUUUCCAGGUCACAGAUGCUUCCAGCUGAUCAGAAAGAACACAGUACAAGAAUAUAGUGCUGAUAUUUAAAGACUGAGCUCAGAGAAAUUACUCCAAAGAAUUAGAUUUACAUAUUUAAUGCUUUUGAAGAAAUCUUGAAAGAAAGGAGAGAGAAGGUUGAUGAGACAAAGGGGAAAGUGAGUGUAUAACAUAGACCAACUUGCCAAGUAUUGUGUGUACCCUAUUAAAUUACUUUUUUCUUCUAGAAUACUUAUCAAAGAAAGCUGAUGUAAGAGAUCACUCAUGUUUGGACAUUAAUAAACCAUUUGACAUGGUGACACAGGAGAAACAUUACUCAAAAGAAGAUUAAAGAUUAGCAGAGAAACUAUAAAUUGCAGGAGAAGUUGAGCCAAGACAAAAUGGAAAUUAGUGUUUUUGAGAAGUGAAGUUACCAGGUUGGAGAAAAAUUACUAGCAGAAAUUGUCAAGAACAGCUAUGGGACAGAUCUUUAAGUAUUUUCAUUCACUAUCUUGAGACAAAAAUACAAAAUCUUUCUUUCAAUGAAUUAAGUUGAAAAGCAUUGCCAGCAGAAAGGAAUUUGGGGGCUGCUGUUUAUAAGGAACUGCCUAAACUUAAGAAAAAAAUGCAAGGGAGGGUGACCUUUCCAUAGCGUAAAACGCAAUGUUAAAUGCACGAGACUAAUUGUAAGGGUUUAUUUUUACAAUCUGAUAGCUCAUUAAAAGCUGCAAAGGAUUGAGAAGCAGUUGUGUGCCUGAGCUGAUCCUGCAAUAACUAUGAGCAUCAACGUGAUGCACUUACCAAAACAGUGAAUACGAUCUUACACUAUAUCACAAGAGGAGUCCUCGGCAGACACAAGGAAGUAUUCAUGCCGCUACGCAAGUGUCAACAGUAUCUCCUUCAGUAUAUUGGAAAUUUGAGUCUGUACACAUUACAGCAUCUCACACUUUGCCAGCCUACUGAUCUCAGGGGGUUGAUGGCUCAUCUUAGGAGGUGGACCAUCAAAUAGGAGGAGGAGGAGGUUGCACUGUCAGAGCAAUCAAUGUCUGCAGCGGUUUCUCACUGAGAGAUGUGUGAGCAAGAUUCAAGGCUCUAAGGACAAAAACCAGCACAGCUCUCAGAUAUGGGAAGCAACCUCCUGUGUCCAGUGCAUCCCUGUCUGACCAUGGAGACUGGAGCCAAGAAGCCUCAAGAAGAGACAACAGCCAUCAGGGAAACGAGGAACUUCCAAACAACUCUAUUGUGAUCUGCUGUUGGCUUGGCACAACAGAUGAGCUACCUAAAAGAAACCUUGUCUGGAGAUAGGGAGGCACAUUCCCAUACCAAAUGGGGGGACAUUUUUACCCUGCUGCCUAUCACAAAACUCCUGGAGUUGAAUUUACAUUACAGUGUUGGAUUUCCCCACAGAGGCGCACACCAAUCUACAGCUGAUGAACUACUCAUUUAUUCCUCUGGGUAAGGAAAAACAAUGUCCUGAAUACUGAAGGUCUAAACCACCCAAGGAUACUGGAUUUUAGACAGUAACAUGUGGGAGCUUUACCGAGAACCCCACAGGAGCCACAAACCCAACAAGAACAAAAUAUUUCUUUGCACUGACAAGCCACAAAGAGGAAAGCUGACAAAAAAAACUUCCUCUGGGGCUCACUUGAGCAGUGUCUCCAUUCCCCCUUUGCAAAUGCAGAUAUCAGGAUUUCCUUUGCUUAUACCGUGAUGGUACUAGAUGGCAUCGGGUAUUUACUAUUGCUAUACCAGUCUCUUGGGUGCUCAUGAGCAAAAAGAAUCAGAUGAACAUGGUCUGCAGCACUUUUUAUUUCCCCCCUCAAACUGUGAACACAGAAUAUUGGAAAGAUCUACUAGAUCAAGCUGAUUUUAUAUAUAAUAUGAUAUAUAACAUAGCCAGUUUCCAUCCUUCUCACCUACUCCAAAAAAUGUUGGAACCUCUUUAUUUUAUAGAAGAAUUGAAAUGAAACAAUUUGCAAUUUUAUUCCUCAAAUACACAAACAUUUUGGGUAGCUAAAGUCACAUUAUUGAUCUUUUUAUACAAUUUUCCUUUAAAAUUCCCCUAAA
Harpia harpyja (harpy eagle) is the source of this 3838-nucleotide long non-coding RNA. RefSeq lists it as uncharacterized. The record is from RefSeq and is a predicted model, not a curated record. NCBI's taxonomy places the organism in Eukaryota, Metazoa, Chordata, Aves, Accipitriformes, Accipitridae. The transcript has 4 exons.